This 671-nucleotide ribosomal RNA is filed under the name uncultured bacterium. Its description in RNAcentral is "bacterial SSU rRNA". It matches the Rfam family "Bacterial small subunit ribosomal RNA", at positions 26 to 670 of the family's 1533-position model. The record is from RNAcentral.
AGAGCGAACGCUGGCGGCGUGCCUAACACAUGCAAGUCGGACGAGAAAGGCCGGGGAAACUUGGCCGAGUAAAGUGGCGCACGGGUGAGUAACGCGUGAGUGACCUAUCCUGGAGACGGGGAUAACCUUGCGAAAGCGGGGCUAAUACCCGAUAAUACUCAAGCCGAGGUAAUCGGCUUGGGGAAAGCUGGCUUUUAAAUAAGCUAGUGCUCUAGGGUGGGCUCGCGUCCUAUCAGCUAGUUGGUAGGGUAAAGGCCUACCAAGGCUAAGACGGGUAGCUGGUCUGAGAGGAUGGCCAGCCACACUGGAACUGAGACACGGUCCAGACUCCUACGGGAGGCAGCAGUGAGGGAUAUUGCGCAAUGGCCGAAAGGCUGACGCAGCGACGCCGCGUGGGUGAGGAAGGCCUUCGGGUCGUAAAGCCCUGUCGGUGGGGAAGAAGGUCCCUAAGGUGAAUAAUCUUAGGGGGGUGACGGUACCCACGGAGGAAGCACCGGCUAACUCCGUGCCAGCAGCCGCGGUAAUACGGAGGGUGCGAGCGUUACUCGGAAUCACUGGGCGUAAAGGGCGCGUAGGCGGUCUAGCAAGUCUGGUGUGAAAGCCCAGGGCUCAACCCUGGAAGGGCACUGGAAACUGCUAGGCUUGAGUUCCGGAGAGGAGGGGGGAAUUCC